Molecule: ribosomal RNA, 231 nt
Filed under: uncultured bacterium
Lineage: Bacteria
Description: partial 16S ribosomal RNA
Rfam family: Bacterial small subunit ribosomal RNA
Source: RNAcentral
GGGUAGCGGAACACGUACGCAACCUCCCCAAAAUUAGUGAAUAGCCUUCCGAAAGGAAGAUUAAUACACCGUAACAUAAUGAAGUGGCAUCACUUUAUUAUUAUAGCUCCGGCGAUUUUGGAUGGGCGUGCGCCUGAUUAGGUAGUUGGCGGGGUAACGGCCCACCAAGCCUGCGAUCAGUAACUGGUGUGAGAGCACGACCAGUCACACGGGCACUGAGACACGGGCCCG